This is a non-coding RNA of Dermacentor albipictus, 321 nucleotides long. The record is from RefSeq and is a predicted model, not a curated record. Lineage: Eukaryota; Metazoa; Arthropoda; Arachnida; Ixodida; Ixodidae.
CCAAAUUUGGCGUGUUUCUGAUACAUAAAAACAGAAUUUAUCGAAGACACCUUCCGUGCUUUUUGUUCUUCAUUCGUACUGCCAUCAACACCAAUCACCAUUCGUCCAUCGAGAAGAAAUCAACGACACCAGCGGCGUGCCAGCGGGAACGUCUCGUGAACGUCGGCUGCGGCGGUGUUCUUGUGUGUGAGAAAGACCGUGCUGAUGCCAUGCCGUCCGGCGGUCCAAGCCACGGCUGCUACUGCUGUGUGUCGUGGUGCUUUGACAACGGCAGAACCCAGAAAAAGCCUAUCUUGACUUGGAAUAAAAACAUUGCGGAAA